This 158-nucleotide ribosomal RNA is filed under the name Neomedicopsis prunicola. RNAcentral describes it as "5.8S ribosomal RNA". It matches the Rfam family "5.8S ribosomal RNA". Rfam says of the family: 5.8S ribosomal RNA (5.8S rRNA) is a component of the large subunit of the eukaryotic ribosome. It is transcribed by RNA polymerase I as part of the 45S precursor that also contains 18S and 28S rRNA. The record is from RNAcentral. Lineage: Eukaryota; Fungi; Ascomycota; Dothideomycetes; Pleosporales; Neohendersoniaceae.
CAACUUUCAACAAUGGAUCUCUUGGUUCUGGCAUCGAUGAAGAACGCAGCGAAAUGCGAUAAGUAGUGUGAAUUGCAGAAUUCAGUGAAUCAUCGAAUCUUUGAACGCACAUUGCGCCCCUUGGUAUUCCAUGGGGCAUGCCUGUUCGAGCGUCAUUA